GGCGCUAUAGUGUAGUGGUUAUCACUUGGGAUUCUGAUCAGCAGUGUUCCCAAAACCCAGGUUCGAGCCCUGGUAGCGCCU
This 81-nucleotide transfer RNA is filed under the name Trametes coccinea BRFM310. RNAcentral describes it as "Trametes coccinea (strain BRFM310) tRNA". It matches the Rfam family "tRNA". Rfam says of the family: Transfer RNA (tRNA) molecules are approximately 80 nucleotides in length. Their secondary structure includes four short double-helical elements and three loops (D, anti-codon, and T loops). Lineage: Eukaryota; Fungi; Basidiomycota; Agaricomycetes; Polyporales; Polyporaceae. The record is from Rfam by way of RNAcentral.